This 497-nucleotide ribosomal RNA is filed under the name uncultured bacterium. Its description in RNAcentral is "partial 16S ribosomal RNA". It matches the Rfam family "Bacterial small subunit ribosomal RNA", at positions 28 to 507 of the family's 1533-position model. The record is from RNAcentral.
GAUGAACGCUGGCGGCGUGCCUAAUACAUGCAAGUCGAGCGAACAGACGAGGAGCUUGCUCCUCUGACGUUAGCGGCGGACGGGUGAGUAACACGUGGAUAACCUACCUAUAAGACUGGGAUAACUUCGGGAAACCGAAGCUAAUACCGGAUAAUAUAUUGAACCGCAUGGUUCAAUAGUGAAAGACGGUUUUGCUGUCACUUAUAGAUGGAUCCGCGCCGCAUUAGCUAGUUGGUAAGGUAACGGCUUACCAAGGCAACGAUGCGUAGCCGCCCUGGGAGGGUGAUCGGCCACACUGGAACUGAGACACGGUCCAGACUCCUACGGGAGGCAGCAGUAGGGAAUCUUCCGCAAUGGGCGAAAGCCUGACGGAGCAACGCCGCGUGAGUGAUGAAGGUCUUCGGAUCGUAAAACUCGGUUAUUAGGGAAGAACAAAUGUGUAAGUAACUAUGCACGUCUUGACGGUACCUAAUCAGAAAGCCACGGCUAACUACGUG